Molecule: ribosomal RNA, 223 nt
Filed under: Clostridioides difficile
Lineage: Bacteria; Bacillati; Bacillota; Clostridia; Peptostreptococcales; Peptostreptococcaceae
Description: partial 23S ribosomal RNA
Rfam family: Bacterial large subunit ribosomal RNA
Source: RNAcentral
CCAAGGCUAAAUACUACCUAGUGACCGAUAGCGUAUAGUACCGUGAGGGAAAGGUGAAAAGAACCCCGGGAGGGGAGUGAAAUAGAACCUGAAACACUGCACUUACAAGCUGUGGAAGCACAUUUCUUGUGUGACCGCGUACUUUUUGUAGAACGGGCCAACGAGUUACGUUAAGUAGCAAGGUUAAGCACUUAAGGUGCGGAGCCGUAGCGAAAGCGAGUUU